AGCCAUCUGACUCCCCUCCAAUAAGUCUCCCUAAAUGACUACAUGUAAAUGUUUGGAGGGGGCGUGUCUAUCUGGCCGCUUCCUAACCCUCUGUUCAUGCUAGUUCCUGUACUGCUCAUAUGUCACUUUGUGUCAUGGUUGAUCCUCCGCCUCCACACACCCACACACACACACACACACACCUGUGACGUAUCCGGCUCAUCAUCCUGUACAAACUCUCCGGAGCGUAGAGCCGUCAUGACCUUCCCUGGUUGAAACAACAGAAGGAAGUUAGGAGAACAUUUUCACACUGCCCACAUCCUGUCAGGAGAAUUUUACCAUGACGAGUAACAGGUAACUGCCAACCUUGACAUGUAACUGCCAACCUUCUGAUUAAUAGACAGGUAUACUGGUUGCUGUGAACGCUGACUCAUAUCUCUCUGUCACGUAGGAAUACUCAUACACGUACACGCACACAGACACACAAGUAUGUCUCUUAACCUUGUUUUGAACUUUAGGGCCCUUUUGGAUGUUUUCCCUUUCAUCUCCCAUGACAACAGAUCAGGAAGGCAGGUUACAGAUGAACAAGUGCACCGUGUAAAAUUCACAGCCCAUUCCUAAAUCGCUGCCCCUCAUCGCAGCAUGCCAAAACACUCAUCAUAGAAGGAAAUUUACGUACAAAGAACGUUGCUUUAACACGCCAUAUAAUCUUUAUUUUAUGCUUUUAAAUACAUUUAUUCGGGUCUCAUCGGACAUUCUUUAGAUUCCCACAAUUUUUUUAUAGUUUGUGUCAAAUUUGGUAACUUCUGCACCUUUUUAUUCUCUAGGUUGUCAUCUUUCUGUUCUCUUAUUUUUUUUCUUGGUGUAGACUCAUAGGCAGUCCCUCACUGGUCAUCUCAGAGAAAGAUCUUGGAUUGUCCGUGAAAAUCCCCGGAAAUAGGUGUCCUGGAUGCUAACUUGGUCCCUUCCCAAGAUAGAGACCCCUCGAAGCCACAGCCUGCGAGGGAACGUUGCGAAUUGCUGUCAUCACACGGCAACCACAGACACAUGUAACCAAGCCCUCCGAACAAUCACAGCGAAACCAACACUGCCUCGACUGUUCUCCCCUGGUAGCUUUCACUGGGAAUCUCUCUCCCCUGUCCUCCCCUGGUAGCUUUCACUGGGAAUCUCUCUCCCCUGUCCUCCUCUCUAUUCUCGGGUUGUUUCUAUUUCCGGCCUUAACACGCUUCCCCUCCUUUCCGUCUCUGGGGGGUCGUCCGCAAAGGAGAUUUUAGACUUAUCCUUUCUCCCUCUCUGUCUUCUUCUAUCCCUUCCUCCCCUCCUUUUAGUGGGGAGCUCAGAUCUGGCGAAUGGCCACGUGGGCUUUAAUGCAUUCCUUCCUGGUGUUAUUUUAGUGUCACUCUGUGUCUUGGGUUCAAUUAGCUCUAUGUGUUGUUUCUCCAUGCCAAGAGCAGCCUGCCAAGAAAGCUCACUCCCCUCCAGUGGACAAACUAAUAGCAUGUGGGAAAUGUUCCUGCUAAUCCUUAUUAUCUCACACGGGCCCCAUCGCGGGCUCUGCUGCAUGCUAGAUGCUCUGCCUGAAAACGCUGUUCAUCCUUCAGAAACAGACAACUAAAAACGGCUGGUUACAAUAAAACACCCCCUCUUCCUCCUCCACAUCCCUCCCCCCUUCUUCUUCCUCCACAUCCCUCCCCCCUUCUUCU
Molecule: long non-coding RNA, 1682 nt
Organism: Hypomesus transpacificus
Lineage: Eukaryota; Metazoa; Chordata; Actinopteri; Osmeriformes; Osmeridae
Exons: 3
Source: RefSeq, a predicted model, not a curated record